This 251-nucleotide ribosomal RNA is filed under the name uncultured prokaryote. RNAcentral describes it as "partial 16S ribosomal RNA". It matches the Rfam family "Bacterial small subunit ribosomal RNA", at positions 525 to 775 of the family's 1533-position model. The record is from RNAcentral.
ACGGAGGGUGCAAGCGUUAAUCGGAAUUACUGGGCGUAAAGCGCGCGUAGGCGGUUUGUUAAGUCAGAUGUGAAAUCCCCGGGCUCAACCUGGGAAUGGCAUUUGAGACUGGCAGGCUAGAGUGUGGUAGAGGUGAGUGGAAUUUCAGGUGUAGCGGUGAAAUGCGUAGAGAUCUGGAGGAACACCAGUGGCGAAGGCGACUCACUGGGCCAUUACUGACGCUGAGGUGCGAAAGCGUGGGUAGCAAACAG